AUUAACUAUUACUAACUCGUUUAAUUAGCAAAAAGUUUAAAAUAAUAAAAUUUUUAGCGCGAAAAAAGUAAGUAAAAAGUAAAAGUAAGUAAAGCAAAAGCAACAGCCAAUAAUGGACCCACAAUCCUCUUUUACACGCCGCAAACAAUUUCAUCGAUGUAAUUUGGUGGAAUUAAUUUAACGCCUUUUUAAUUUGCUCGCUGCAGUCAUCAAUUUAUUCACUUCCCUCUGAGCAGUUGACACAGGAAGUAUUGUUUUAAAAUUACUUUCAGGUUCCAUGCCAAUUUAGAGGGUAAAGUGGAGAGUCCAAAUGGCACAAUUUAUCUAAAUCAACUAACCUAACUAUAUCUGCCUCAAUUGAAUAUCAAUAAAUAAUACUUUUAAAAUCCAUGUCCUUUCAUUAAAUAUGUGAUAAUCAUCGAUAUUGGACCGUUUUCGACACGCUCUAACCUAAAAACUAAUUAUAACAAACUAAAGUGCAUUUCUCUCCUCAAUAGCGGUAAGUAGUCGGAGGAAAACCACUGCAAACCAAAUUCUUCUAAUGUGUUGGCUUACAUUUACUUCUGAAAGUUAAAUAAAUAAUUCUUUUUCUUCAAAGUAAAUCCGAACAAUCGCACAUAACUAUGUCUCUUUCUAAUAAGUUCCAUACUCACUGUACUCAGAAACUCUGUCAAAAUUAUUAAAGCACGAACAGAUGGCAACAAUGGCUGAACUCUUCGAUAUUCCUCAACAAAUAUAACCAAAAUCUCAUCGAAAUUCGAAUAUCACCAACCAUUUGAACCUUAGCUCAAGCAAAAACAGUUAAGUUGCAACAACAAACACACGCAAUUAAUAUUACAAUCUAAGGAACACUUCUUCAGUGAUCCACGUGAAUUUUGCGAAAUGCCAAAGGCGUUCACUGCUAUAAAGUUGGCGUUGCAGUGGCACCAGCAUUUGGUUGUUUAGCGACUGCUAAGGCUUGCUCUGAGUAAGUGACGAUGCGUAUUUGCAAAUAGCCAUUUUGGUAUCUACGAUGUUGCAUAUUUGCCGAUAUUACACUUCACAAAUUCUACAUUUAUUAUGCACUAAAAGAGUUCACAAUUAAACGCGGCGGUUCUGCGGCGGCAGGCUGAUUGAUAAAUGUUGGCGUUUGGUGGUAUCGGCAAAUUAUGGCGAAUAAAUACACAAGCCAAUCGCUAUUUAACGCUUGAAAUAUUGGAGAGGAGCACUGAAAUAAUUUGUUCGUGGUUGCAAGUAUUAGUUGCAAGUUCGUGAAUUUGCGAAUGCAAUUUUGAUAAGCUCUCCUUGAGUUGGAAAUAUGCCUUGGCACCGCCACGAAAGGAGCUGACGUAAAAUGGCAUACGUGAAACCCCCACGGACUAUUAAGUUGGCAUAAAUGUUUGAUUUUGGCUGUUCCUUGCAACCACGUAACAAAUGUGGUUGAAGCCGAAGUUGCUCAAGUUGAUUGCGAUUUGUUGCGGUUGCCUCUCGCACAGCUUCUAGUUCAUCUUAAUUUAUAUUUUGGCAUCAGCAUUCUUUCCAGCGCAAAUGAUUUCAAUGUAAUAUUUCACGAAGAAACUUUUCGUGGGGAAAAAAGGAAGCGAAAUGUAGGCGGCCCUGACUCACUAGGGCGUCGAUGUGCUAUAAAGUAGUAAAUUUUAAUAUUUAUAUCUUUCCUGUUGAAAAAUUUCAUUUAUCGAAAAUACAUAUGUACAAGUGUAAUUGUUUGGCUCGACCAAACAUUUUGGCUCCCUCCUGCUGAUGAAUGUUAUGUGAGCUUUAGUGACUUGCAAAUACCCCAAAAUUCCCUAAACAUUUGCUUUUACGUGUAACAAAAUUAGAUGCCUAGCUCCAUUUGUUGGUACCGAUGGGUAUUAAUGAAAACCCACCCAGUGAAACCGUUCAGUUCCCGAACAACAACAGAGACAGCGAAUUAUCCAACACUAGAUGAACCACACGAGUUCGUUAUAGUUCUUGGGGUUAAACUAUAAAUAAGCAUUAAUAUUUUGCAAAAGUAAUAUUUUAACCUCAAAUUAUUGCACAAAAAUAUUUUUCUGGCAUCGGUUUUAUCGACUUAUUCGGGUUUCAUACUUUUCGCACCUACUCGUCAAGAGAGCGACGCCAGGUGGACGAGCUUAAUUGAAUUACUCAACUUUGGACAUACACUAUUUUUUACCCUGAUAUCCUCUUUAUUAUUUUCCAGUUGUAUUCUACAGCUUCUCUUAAUAUAUGAAAGCUGAAUAUUGUUGAAUAUUUCAUUUGCAUUUCACUGACUUUUUAAUAAGGCUUUUAAGCGCCGGAGAUCAAAUAACACCAUUGCGCGGAUAACCUUGUUACCAUACUGAAUUAAGAAUAACAACAAAUGUGUGUGCUGCCAUGACACCUUUCAGAGAGUAUUUCCCAAUUGGCUAAAUCCAUGAUUUCACCGCUUUUCCAUUUCAAACAAAUUCUCUCGCACUUUUUUCGGCACUGUGUGGGGGAAGCAGAGGCACCCGUCGUUUGGAAUUCAGUAAAAAAUUAGCACAUUUUUACGGUUAUGUUAUUACACACAUACACACAUGUAUGAGCACUUUUUAAGUAGUCGUAUAUCCGCCAUAGCAAUUUAUAUGCUCUCUUGGGAAAGCUGAUAGGCAAGGUUGUAGUGAACGUUAUUUACCGCUAUGACCUCAUGUGGCUAACAAUUGGUCGUAUCUUAAAUUACUUUUUGUUGUAAAUGAAAAUGUAAGUGAGAAACUGUAUUUAAUAUAAUUUACGAAGAAAUAUGAGAAAAUAUAAUAACCCUUAGAACAGCAGAGGCAGCGGCCCACACUGUUGACAGCAACAAAAUUGUGUUAAAAAGCUUACAUUGGAAGCCUCUUAAACAUUUUUAGCCAACCGAAGUCUCAUUUAAUAUAUAAAAGAUAUAGGAACUAACUAUAUAACGAUAAGUACAUAUCUAUAUCAAAUACAUGCAUCUGAAAGAUUUUUAAGUGUUCAAAAUUAAGUUUUUACAUUCGAAACGCUGCAUUACUUUCGCAGUAAACUGUUGUAUGCGCCUCUACAUCUUUUCUAAUUAAAAUCAAUUAUGUAAUAUAUAUUACUGCAUCCACCUCCACCUUUCGAAAUUUCAAGGCAAUCAGCAAACAAAUAAAUCUAAAAUAAACGCCAAAAACUUUCAGAAGAUUUUCAGCUUCUCCUCUCAAUCUAGCACAAGCAGCACUAUUCACUUGAAAGUUUAAAAUUCGUUUGUAGACAUCUAGUUUUGUUCGGACGGAAGCAAUGCACCUUUUCAUGGGGUUAAUAUAAACUUCAAGAUGCAAUCAGGCGUCAUCAAUUCAGCGAGAAGCAAUUACUUUACAAAGCAAAACGGAUUAUUAAUUUCGCCGACUCAGCCAGCCACUCAGCCAGCCGCAGACAAAGCCGCAGACAAAGAUGCAAAGAAAGCGAAAUUUAGAGAUGUAAGCUCAGCGAAUCCGCUUCUGUUGCACAAGCAGAUUAGCUGCCAAGGAGCCUGUGGACCGACGGCAGCGAAACUACUAUUUAGUUCGUUAAAUCAGCAUAUUGUCCAAAAGCAAUAUAAUAAUUUUUCAAUACUAAAGUUAAAUCUAGUCGCUAAGUUGUUUGUAAAUCUGUUGUGUAAUGAUAUUGGUUCACCACUGGCCGUGACUAAAUUUCGAAUUUAUUUUUUUCACUAUAAAAGAAAUCCAACAUUGUGCCAAUAUUGCUUAGUUGCAUUUGAUUGAGGCACAAUUUUCUCAGGUCAGCCGCAUUAUUUUCAUGAAAUUGCAAAAUACAACAACAAUACAUGUGUCAAGGUUACUCGCGUUUGCUGCAGAAGAAAGCUUUUUCAACGUAGGUUCGCCCAGAAAUGUCAAUUGUACAGUGAACGCCAUAUAAUCGCAACCAACCGAGAAGAGAGCACCAUUCUUCGAACAUAGCCGGACUUUAGUUUUCAAAGACUUCAUUUUUUGUCAUCAUAUUUGCAGAAGAAGACAUUUGACAAUUUAUUUUGAUAUUCACUAUGAAGAAUUACCGACAUUUUUGACACUAACUUAAAUAAUACUCUUGUCGAAGAUACCGGACUCAUAGUUGAUUAUUUCAAUUAUUAAGGGAGCAGAGAUUUAUUUUUAUAUUUGAUUUGGCCACUGCUGACUUUGACUUUAACCGGUGUUGAUCUUUACGUACUUAUGUUUUUACGAAGCUUCUAAUUUUAUCUGAUGAAGAAAAGUCUUCAGGAAAAUUGUCAGAAGUUUUGUGAUUUGAACCGACGACCCUGUGGCCACCAGUCGCAGGGUAAAACGUUACCUCUAAAGAAUGCAUCCCUCUCCAUAAGCAUUCAUAUUUGCAUUUAUUUAAAGAAGAAUUGCGAAAGUUCUAUUUUAUUUGCAAUUCGAGGGAGUCUCAACUGGUCCCAACCCAAUUUCAAAUCUAUCCAGCCUUGCAAAAUUUAAACUGUAAACAACGCACAACUAAAAUACAACUGAAAAUAACGGUAAUAAUGGCAAUGGUAUAAAAUAAAUACAAGCGAAAAUUCUAAACCUCGUCGAAACUGCAAAAGCUUGCACGCAACACAGGUAGUUGUGGUUGUUGUUGUUGCUGCGCAGAUGUUAAAACUUUCACUUUGACACACAACAGCGCAGUGAAAUGCCUUCUUGCCCCUUAUUCGUUCUCACUCUGCUACAAAUUUCAUCAGUCCGCACUUUGUCCGGUUGCCCUGCGGCCAAAAGCGACCUUGCGAGCGAACUAACUCGGCUAUUCACAAAGUGACGAGCAAGCAACUGUCAGCCGAGAAGCAAGAAACAUCAGCCAACAGAAUUCCAGUGCAAAUACAAAAUGCGACUAAGUGACAACUGACCGAGUUUGGAAGUCGCGUUUGUUAAGGGUAACAAGUUAAUUCGUGUUUUCAGAAAACUUCCUUCUUAGUGAAAUCGCCACAUUUCUAUUUGUCCUUUGUUUAAAAACAGCAAAAGAACUAUUCAACAAACCACAGCCAUCGUAGCUGAAAUGUAAAACAGCAAGAACGUUGACUCUCGUUAAACCAACGGUAUAAUACCUUUCACAAAAACAAAAUAUUCCGUCCAAGUACUAUGAUCAGCCGAUUUAUAUGGUAGCUACAUGCUACAGAGACUCGAUUCAUUUAGGGUGUGCGAAUUAUUUACUCGAAAUUAGUUGGAAGCUCUGUUGUCGCGCUUUAUGUGACUUCAAAAUCCCACAAAGUGAUGAUAGUGCCGCAGAGAGCUCUCAGAAGGGAGAAAAGCGUAGUUGCCAAAAAAUUAUGAUAAAUGUAACAUAAAUCCAGUUUAAGAACCUCAAGCAAAAUAUGUAUGCUUCAACUACAGGGAGAAGCAAAGAGAAGACACAUAGCGAAGAAAGAAGAAUGAAGGCAUUGAAAGGCUAUAAAGCCCUGCUGGCAGAUGAGAGCGCCAUAAAAUGCCAUCACUUCCGAUCAAUGUCAACGGUACAGAACGUUGACGGUGCAGAGCAUAACAAACGCUGGUGGUACGGCCAAGUGGUAAAACGUAAAAUGUUUCGAAAUUUAGGUGGCAGUAGACGUGCUUUGAAAAUAGUAUGUAAACCCUGCAACACAAAGACACACAUACACACACUAACGCUGCGUGAACACAGUACCCUUGACCCAAAGGAACAACAGCAACAAGUAAAAAAAGAAUUCAUUGCGAAUAUUUAAAUGUCCCUUACCCAAGUAUGCAGGCUGUUCUCUUUGUGCUCGGAAUGGGAGCAAGAGCGUAAGAGGAAAUGAAAGCGCACAGUUUCGCUGGUGAAGCCUCAAAGGAGUCGAUGAAUACUGCAUAUGACGAUAGCAACUGAAGCGCAUAAAUAAUAACUUCAAAACUUACUAUUUAAUAGAUAGCUUCUUAAAACCAAUAUUCUAUAUUUAGUUAUCCUACAUCUGAAUUUAUAGCGAAAACGUUUUUCUUCAAACGCUAACAAAUUUCACAUUUGUGUGGUUUAUACAAAAGUAGCAUCACAUAUUGAAGGUGAACCAUUGCAAAAGCUGUAAUAUUUGCUAUGUAUUCACGUUUUUUGGAAAUCCCUUUAUUCCUUUACCACAGAUCAUUAUUUAUUUGAAAAAAAAAAAAAAAAAAAAAUAACGAUAGAAGUAUUCUAGUCUCGUCAUCAAAUAAUCAUUGCAACGUUUUCUGAGGCCAAGUAAGAAACAAAAUAAUAUAAACAAAAUCACAUUGGAAAACUGGUAAACCACGAAGUAGUGAAACUCACCACACAUAAUCGUACGUGUAAAGCUAUGGAAAAAAGGACAGAAAAACACACAAACACACAUUUCCAUUUUUCUCUUGUUUCUACCUGAAAAUACAACAAAUAAAAACACAGAAACUACAGCAAUGUAUGGGGGCAACUCAGCCUCACGCAACUCAUGCUAAGUGAUAAGAGACGCAACAACAGGUGCCAAGUGCACUAGCUUUACCAGACUUUGGCAACAUGUUGCACGUGUCAUAAUGCCACCACCACCACACCAAAAUGAAAAAAAAACAAAAAAAAUGUAUGUUUCUAUUAUAAAAUUCAGCAUUACUUUUCUUUUCUUUUUGUGAAAUUAUGCAAAUAGCACGGAGAUAGUACUUAAGGUACAUAAUAUAUUUUACCCAUAACCAAAAUUAUUUUAACCAAACGAUCCUGCAGUCGUCUUAGUUCAAAUACAUGAAAAUAUCCUAAACUCUCUUAUAGCAAAGAAUAAAUUAAAAUUAAAUUUGAAGGAAAAUAGAUUUUUGAUAACCCAAAAAAUAUCUCAAAUUAUACCUCAUAUAAACGUAACAAAAACAAUGACAUUAAAUAUUUCUUAAGCGACCAACCUUUGAACGUAUACGGAAGCUAAUCGCAGGCGUAAAUUUAUGCUCGCUCUUUAUUAUUGCAAAGUAAAUUGCUGUUAAUGGCAAUGAAGUGAUAAACGCUAACAAUCAUGUUGGGUCACACACACAUACAAUUAUAUAGGUAUAUUUACAAAAAUACAUAUGUCUGUCCCUUCAAAUGUUGCUUAUAUGCCCUAAUCCACCACCGAUAUAAAAAAUUAACAUAACAUUUUGAAGUGACAACUAAUAUGGCUGUUUAAAAUAAAACAUCUAAGCUUAGAUUGGCCUAUUGUGGUCAAAAUACUAUUAGUACAGGUUUUCAUAACUAACUAAAUGAAACCUUGUAGUCUAAUUCGCUUCGAAAUCAUUUACCUUUUCUCACUUUUAAAAUCACGCAGGCAGACGAAAAGCAAUCGAUUGUAGGUCAGGGUAACUCCUUAACUUAGCUAUGUCAUCCCAUUACAUACCUAAUGUCGACGUCUUGACCUCAAACGCUCAGGCACUUUGGAUGCUAAUGUGUCUGAGAUAAAGGAUAGCAACUAUACCAUAAUGGCAGUAACCUGAAUUACAUCUCAUAGCACAAAAGCAAUAAAUACUAUUUGGGUUUCGACAUCUGGCCACUGUCGCGGAUAGACAAGCUAAUAUGUGAUGCGUUAAGAUGAGAACUGUAAGGUCGGAGUCCACAUCUUUGAAAAUCUACACCAGUAUUUGAUAUUGACGAAUAAUGUGCUACAUUUUAGCGUAGCCUGGGUUGAACGGAAAUGGGAAUAGUUUUAUUAAUUGUACUUUUAAUAAAUAUCUCAAGUUUCAAUAAUAAUAUAAGCACAAUACGUAA
Molecule: long non-coding RNA, 7614 nt
Filed under: Bactrocera tryoni
Lineage: Eukaryota; Metazoa; Arthropoda; Insecta; Diptera; Tephritidae
Description: uncharacterized LOC120775057
Source: RNAcentral